CAGCCGCCGCGGUAAUACGUAGGGUGCGGGCGUUAAUCGGAAUUACUGGGCGUAAAGCGGGCGCAGACGGUUACUUAAGCAGGAUGUGAAAUCCCCGGGCUCAACCUGGGAACUGCGUUCUGAACUGGGUAACUAGAGUGUGUCAGAGGGAGGUAGAAUUCCACGUGUAGCAGUGAAAUGCGUAGGGAUGUGGAGGAACACCGAUGGCGAAGGCAGCCCCCUGGGCCAAUACUGACGCUCAUGCACGAAAGCGUGGGGAGCAAACAGGAUUAGAUACCCCAGUAGUCCCUGUCUCUUAUAC
Molecule: ribosomal RNA, 301 nt
Filed under: uncultured bacterium
Lineage: Bacteria
Description: partial 16S ribosomal RNA
Rfam family: Bacterial small subunit ribosomal RNA
Source: RNAcentral